CCUACGGGUGGCUACAGUGGGGAAUAUUGGGCAAUGGACGCAAGUCUGACCCAGCAACGCCGCGUGAAUGAAGAAGUCUUUCGGUUUGUAAACUUCUUUUAAGGGGGAAGAGCAGAAGACUGUACCCCUUAAAUAAGCCACGGCUAACUACGUCCCCGCAGCCGCGAUAAUACGUAGGUGGCAAGCGUUCUCCGGAUUUACUGGGUGUAAAGGGCGUGCAGACGGAGAGACAAGUCAGAUGUGAAACCCCCGGGCUCAACCCGUGGACUGCAGUUGAAACUGUUUCCCUUGAGUGUCGGAGAGGUAAGCGGAAUUCCUAGUGUAGCGGUGAAAUGCGUAGAUAUAAGGAAGAACACCAGUGGCGAAGGCGGAUUACUGGACGAUAACUGACGGUGAGGCGCGAAAGCGUGGGGAGCAAACAGGAUUAGAUAUCCGAGUAGUC
RNAcentral lists this ribosomal RNA (442 nucleotides) under uncultured bacterium. RNAcentral describes it as "partial 16S ribosomal RNA". It matches the Rfam family "Bacterial small subunit ribosomal RNA", at positions 338 to 795 of the family's 1533-position model. The record is from RNAcentral.